This 73-nucleotide transfer RNA is filed under the name Ailuropoda melanoleuca (giant panda). It matches the Rfam family "tRNA". Rfam says of the family: Transfer RNA (tRNA) molecules are approximately 80 nucleotides in length. Their secondary structure includes four short double-helical elements and three loops (D, anti-codon, and T loops). Lineage: Eukaryota; Metazoa; Chordata; Mammalia; Carnivora; Ursidae. The record is from Rfam by way of RNAcentral.
GCCUGGCUGGCUCUUUCAGUAGAGCAUGUAACUUUUGAUCUCAAGAUUGUGAGUUCAAGCCCCACGUUGGGCA